RNAcentral lists this transfer RNA (57 nucleotides) under Cricetulus griseus (Chinese hamster). The record is from Rfam by way of RNAcentral. Lineage: Eukaryota; Metazoa; Chordata; Mammalia; Rodentia; Cricetidae.
UGGCUCAGAGGUUAAGAGCACUGGCUGCUAUUCCAGGGUCCUGAGUUCAAUUCUCAG